GUGCUCGCUUCGGCAGCACGUAUUCUAAAAUUGGAACGAUAAAGAGAAGAUUAGAAUGGCCCCUGCACAAGAAUGAGACGCAAAUUCAUAAAGCGUUCCAUAUUUUU
Molecule: small nuclear RNA, 107 nt
Organism: Sorex fumeus (smoky shrew)
Lineage: Eukaryota; Metazoa; Chordata; Mammalia; Eulipotyphla; Soricidae
Source: RefSeq, a predicted model, not a curated record